This is a long non-coding RNA of Acanthopagrus latus (yellowfin seabream), 791 nucleotides long. RefSeq lists it as uncharacterized. The record is from RefSeq and is a predicted model, not a curated record. Lineage: Eukaryota; Metazoa; Chordata; Actinopteri; Spariformes; Sparidae. The transcript is spliced from 2 exons.
AUGCACACAGAGAGUGACGACUGGAGGUUAAAGGUCAUUUAGGUUGUGUGUUAAAAGAUGUUUUCUACACCCUGAGGGAGCCAUGGUGAAGUUUUCGGCUUUAAAAGAAGCUUGUAAACAACAUCUGAUCAGGAUCUCGAGGCUUGACUGGUAUAAUCAAAGUCUGAAGAAGCCCUGAGGUCCUAAACUGAUUAGAAAAGACCUCAUUUACACCCAAAUCAUCACUAAAACCGUCACCUGUCUGGUUCAAGGUGUAAAUAAUGUCUUUUAAAAUAUUUAUUUAAGAUCUCAUUGCUCAUCUGCUGUAAUAAAAGUCUCUGGAAGCCCUGAGAUCCCAAAUUUAAAUGCAAUUAUUUACAUCCUUGACACGUAAUCUAACUCAGAAAAACUCUUACAGCGGGUGUAUAUGACAUCUUUUCAAAUCAGUCUGUUAUCUCUGAGCUUCUGGACACUCGGGAGUGCGACCGACAACCUGUACAGAGCUUUUUAACGACUCCUGUUGGUUGUUUUGUAUGUUUUAAAGCACGUCUCCAUCUACUUCAGCUGUUUACAGAGAGCGCUGUGACAACACUUGGCCGUGAAGCUCCUGAAAUGUUCCUGCAGACGACGAAAACCUGCCUUGACUCUCCAUCAGCAUGAGGAUCGGGUGAUGCGCCUCCCACUGCCUCCCCUCCUCCUUCCUCUCCUCACAUUAAAACUCCAGCAGAGGAGAUCCUGUCAUUAUAAAUAUAAUCCUGCUGAUAAGGUUGAAAUAAUGAUAAUAAAUCAACAACAAAUGUGUUUUAAAAGAC